Molecule: long non-coding RNA, 544 nt
Organism: Rhodamnia argentea
Lineage: Eukaryota; Viridiplantae; Streptophyta; Magnoliopsida; Myrtales; Myrtaceae
Exons: 3
Source: RefSeq, a predicted model, not a curated record
UGCCGUACAAAAUUUCGAAAAAAAAACCUUUCUUAACAUACAAAAUUUUGAACAGGCCUCACAGUCCUGGUUGGUUUUAAGCCACUGCUUAGUUAGUACUCAAUAAUGAUUGAAAACGGACCAGAAUGGCCAGCUAAACCAGUUCAACUUGAUACCAGAGCCUAGUCCAGUCCGGAUCAUCUUAUUUAUACCGGCUCAACGUCUAACUGGUUAUUAACUGCACUGACCUGGUUCAAACCGUGUAAACGGUACCACGUCAGACCGGAUCCGCUUUUAGAAAAAAGAUUAAAUGGUUGUGUCUGCAAUCCAGAGGGCGCGAACACCUGACCGUUAGGGUGUUGAGGAAGACACACAGCCACACAAGCUGGGUCCACUCUUGAGAAGUUACGGGCAACUAAUUGAUCUUCAAAUGUAUUGCCUUUCCUACUUUGGAAUAAUUGCUAAAUUGGCACAGGGAGAACACAAACACUGGAACUCUAGUUUAAAAACACAGGGCUUUACCAUCUUGGCUAAAGGCAUGCCUGUUUAACUGUUUCAGGUUUAC